This 75-nucleotide transfer RNA is filed under the name Desulfurispirillum alkaliphilum. RNAcentral's name for it is "tRNA-Gln". It matches the Rfam family "tRNA". From Rfam's summary of the family: Transfer RNA (tRNA) molecules are approximately 80 nucleotides in length. Their secondary structure includes four short double-helical elements and three loops (D, anti-codon, and T loops). RNAcentral also lists the same sequence under 2 other names. Lineage: Bacteria; Pseudomonadati; Chrysiogenota; Chrysiogenia; Chrysiogenales; Chrysiogenaceae. The record is from RNAcentral.
UGGGGUGUAGCCAAGCGGUAAGGCAGCGGUUUUUGGUACCGCCAUUCCGAGGUUCGAAUCCUCGCACCCCAGCCA